Molecule: non-coding RNA, 1098 nt
Organism: Paramuricea clavata
Lineage: Eukaryota; Metazoa; Cnidaria; Anthozoa; Malacalcyonacea; Plexauridae
Source: the annotation of a GenBank genome assembly
UAUUGUAUUUAUUGUAUUUUUAUGAUAAAUAUUUGCGUAGUUUUGUCAUAAAUCAUAAAAAUACAAUAAAUACAAUAUAGUUAUGUUUCUGUGGUGGCGAACAAACGUUUCGUGAAAAUAUCCACCCCCCCUGUCAUGUGUCCACGAGAAGUUUUCGCGAAGAUUGCCCGUGACUUUCAAAUGAUUUGUUUUUUAUUUUGAACCUAAAUGGUAUACGGGAGGGUUUUUCCUUCCAAAUGGGACAAAUAUUGUCAAAUUUUCGAUUGGGACUAUUCUACAAUGAACUACUCUUGGAUACUUUAAUCUAAAUACAUAUGAAAACGAAGAAGUGGCAUUUAUCGGACAGAGAAGCGGCGAGCCAUUAAAAUGGCGGCAAUUUGACGAAAUAUCGAAGGACACAAACUUCACGAAACUUGGUUGAAAUAUUCUUUAGCCCUUUAUGAUUAUGUAAAAGUACAACAACUGGAUGAUAUUUGCGAGACUCGGCGAUAAAAAGCAAACAAGACGGCAAAGUAUGGCUGAAAUCGUGUUUUCGUGGGGGGUAAGUGAAAUAAAAUGUGUUAUAUUAAAAGAAAACAAUGACAAUCCUUAUGAAAUCCACAAUAAUUAUAUUGAACUAAGCAUAGUUUUUCAUCCCAUGAUAAUUUUUUUUAGGAAAUAAGAAAACUUAAUUUCUGCCAGGCAUAUUAGUUAUUUUGUACAUAAUCAGCAAUUUACCUGGGGUGGUGCAUAGCAUUUUCUGGUAAAAUAUUAUACUUAGACAAAUUUUUCCUUCCAAUGACCACCCCUAAAAUCAACCCUUCUGAACACCAUAAGCACUUCAGAAAGGCUGUCGCUUUUCCUUUUCGGAAAUUAGAGCUAUGUCGACACUGCCGUUUCAGGGCGGGGUCAUUUUCAGGACUUUCGUCCCGGAUUCAGGUUUUCGCACAUAUUCCAUGUUGAUCGCCAUGGUCAUUUUACCCUAAAACAGGUGAGAUUACCUACAGUCCUAAAUGAAUCGCAUACAAACUCAUAUACAGGUCCUAGACUAAUUGCCAAGAUUUAUAUAAACCUGCCCGUGCCGAACAAAUUUCGUCGGCUAUCUUUCUUCUUUUGCAC